This 439-nucleotide ribosomal RNA is filed under the name uncultured bacterium. Its description in RNAcentral is "partial 16S ribosomal RNA". It matches the Rfam family "Bacterial small subunit ribosomal RNA", at positions 339 to 795 of the family's 1533-position model. The record is from RNAcentral.
CUACGGGUCGCUGCAGUGAGGAAUAUUGCACAAUGGAGGAAACUCUGAUGCAGCAACGCCGCGUGGAGGAUGACGCAUUUCGGUGUGUAAACUCCUUUUAUAUGUCAAGAAAAUGACGGUAGCAUAUGAAUAAGCUCCGGCUAACUCCGUGCCAGCAGCCGCGGUAAUACGGAGGGAGCAAGCGUUACUCGGAAUCACUGGGCGGAAAGGACGCGUAGGCGGGAUAGAAAGUCAGGUGUGAAAUCCUAUGGCUCAACCAUAGAACUGCACUUGAAACUUCUAACCUAGAGUAUGGGAGGGGAAGAUGGAAUUAGUGGUGUAGGGGUAAAAUCCGUAGAUAUCACUAGGAAUACCAAAAGCGAAGGCGAUCUUCUGGAACAAUACUGACGCUAAGGCGUGAAAGCGUGGGGAGCAAACAGGAUUAGAUACCCCCGUAGUC